ACGAACGCUGGCGGCGUGCCUAAUACAUGCAAGUCGAACGGUCUUUCUAUGGAAGCUUGCUUCCACUGAGAAGAUAGUGGCGAACGGGUGAGUAACACGUGGGUAACCUGCCCAUAAGAGGGGGAUAACAUCCGGAAACGGGUGCUAAUACCGCAUAGUUUUCUUGAUCGCAUGAUUGAGAAAGGAAAGAUGGCCUUUGUGCUGUCGCUUAUGGAUGGACCCGCGGCGUAUUAGUUAGUUGGUGAGGUAACGGCUCACCAAGACGAUGAUACGUAGCCGACCUGAGAGGGUGAUCGGCCACAUUGGGACUGAGACACGGCCCAAACUCCUACGGGAGGCAGCAGUAGGGAAUCUUCCGCAAUGGACGAAAGUCUGACGGAGCAACGCCGCGUGAGUGAAGAAAGGUUUUCGGAUCGUAAAACUCUGUUGUCAGAGAAGAACAAGUUGGAGAGUAACUGCUCCAGCCUUGACGGUAUCUGACCAGAAAGCCACGGCUAACUACGUGCCAGCCGCUGC
Molecule: ribosomal RNA, 516 nt
Filed under: uncultured bacterium
Lineage: Bacteria
Description: bacterial SSU rRNA
Rfam family: Bacterial small subunit ribosomal RNA
Source: RNAcentral